UCCACGGAGGCCGCGCAGACCCAGAGCAGCAGGAGCAGCGGCGCACGCACGUCCAGGAGGCGCCGCCGCCGCGGCCACAGCCAGGGACACCUGCGCGGGACAGGCACGGGGCCAGCAUCCUGAGCCCCACCUGCGGGCCCUGAGCGCCUUCCUCCCGGCAGCUGUGCCCCCACCCCACCGGACCGCUCCCUGCAACCAGAGAGCCCUCACUCACACCAGCAACCCCCUGCCACGCACCUGCUCCCUCCUGGUGCGCACAAAACUCAUGGCACUGACUUGACAGCUUUCUCUAAAACCCUGAUUCCACCUUGGCCCAUCCACACUGUCCCUUCCCGGCCGGGGCUCAUCUCCUAUGCCUGGACCAAGCAGCAUAGUCUCCUGUCUCCCUGGUCUACCCACACGUGGCCCCACCCAUCCUCUGAAGCAGCCCCAGGAGGAAGCAGUGACUUCACACUUCUAGUGCCCGGCCCUCUGGGCUUGCUUGCCAGGGUCCUCCCAACCUGACCACUGCCUCCCACCUCCUCUCCACUCCUGUGGCUUUCCAGCCGCAGCUGCACGGCCUGCUUGGGAUUCUCCUCUGCUGGCAUCAUCCCUGCCUGCCUCAGCCUUCCCAGGCCCAGUCCUGCCCAGUCUCACCCCUUCCCACCCAUCCACCUGGCCAGGUCCCCACCAGCAUCUGCCUUCAAACCUGGAAUCCUUCUCUGAGUGCUUGUGGUCCACUGUGAGGAAGGAAAUCAAUUUAAAGGAUUAUGACCCACAUUUUUUUAAAAAUAAAAAGAUUAAGGAGAACA
This is a long non-coding RNA of Cercocebus atys (sooty mangabey), 791 nucleotides long. RefSeq lists it as uncharacterized. The transcript is spliced from 2 exons. Lineage: Eukaryota; Metazoa; Chordata; Mammalia; Primates; Cercopithecidae. The record is from RefSeq and is a predicted model, not a curated record.